RNAcentral lists this ribosomal RNA (301 nucleotides) under uncultured bacterium. Its description in RNAcentral is "partial 16S ribosomal RNA". It matches the Rfam family "Bacterial small subunit ribosomal RNA", at positions 509 to 807 of the family's 1533-position model. The record is from RNAcentral.
CAGCCGCCGCGGGAAUACGUAGGUGGCAAGCGUUGUCCGGAAUUAUUGGGCGUAAAGGGCUCGCAGGCGGUUUCUUAAGUCUGAUGUGAAAGCCCCCGGCUCAACCGGGGAGGGUCGUUGGAAACUGGGAAACUUGAGUGCAGAAGAGGAGAGUGGAAUUCCACGUGUAGCGGUGAAAUGCGUAGAGAUGUGGAGGAACACCAGUGGCGAAGGCGACUCUCUGGUCUGUAACUGACGCUGAGGAGCGAAAGCGUGGGGAGCGAACAGGAUUAGAUACCCCAGUAGUCCCUGUCUCUUAUAC